Molecule: ribosomal RNA, 459 nt
Filed under: uncultured bacterium
Lineage: Bacteria
Description: partial 16S ribosomal RNA
Rfam family: Bacterial small subunit ribosomal RNA
Source: RNAcentral
CCUACGGGAGGCAGCAGUGAGGAAUAUUGGUCAAUGGGCGGGAGCCUGAACCAGCCAAGUCGCGUGAGGGACGACGGUCCUAUGGAUUGUAAACCUCUUUUGUCGGGGAACAAAGUCCCCCACGGGUAGGCGUAUGAGUGUACCCUAAGAAUAAGCAUCGGCUAACUCCGUGCCAGCAGCCGCGGUAAUACGGAGGAUGCGAGCGUUAUCCGGAUUUCUUGGGUUUAAAGGGUGCGUAGGCGGACAGUAAAGUCAGCGGUAAAAGUGCGGUGCUAAACGCCGUACAGCCGUUGAAACUGGGAGUCUUGAGUGGGCGAGAGGUAUGCGGAAUGCGUGGUGUAGCGGUGAAAUGCAUAGAUAUCACGCAGAACUCCGAUUGCGAAGGCAGCAUACCGGCGCCCGACUGACGCUGAGGCACGAAAGCGUGGGUAUCGAACAGGAUUAGAUACCCGGGUAGUC